Molecule: ribosomal RNA, 245 nt
Filed under: uncultured bacterium
Lineage: Bacteria
Description: partial small subunit ribosomal RNA
Rfam family: Bacterial small subunit ribosomal RNA
Source: RNAcentral
AGGAUCAACGCUGGCGGCGUGCCUAACACAUGCAAGUCGCACGAGAAAGUGGAGCAAUCCAUGAGUAAAGUGGCGCACGGGUGAGUAACACGUGAAUUAUCUACCUCCGAGUGGGGAAUAACUGAGAGAAAUCUUAGCUAAUACCGCAUAACACUUACGAGUCAAAGCAGCAAUGCGCUUGGAGAGGAGUUCGCGGCCGAUUAGUUAGUUGGCGGGGUAAUGGCCCACCAAGACGAUGAUCGGUA